RNAcentral lists this ribosomal RNA (318 nucleotides) under uncultured eukaryote. RNAcentral's name for it is "partial 18S ribosomal RNA". It matches the Rfam family "Eukaryotic small subunit ribosomal RNA", at positions 1470 to 1796 of the family's 1831-position model. The record is from RNAcentral.
CCCUUAGAUGUUCUGGGCCGCACGCGCGCUACACUGAACAUAUCAGCAUGUUAUUCCCUUCCUGAGAAGGACGGGUAAACCUCUGAGCCAUGUUCAUGGUAGGGAUUGGGGCUUGCAAUUAUUCCCCACGAACCAGGAAUUCCCAGUAGGCGCAAGUCAUAAGCUUGCGUCGAUUACGUCCCUGCCCUUUGUACACACCGCCCGUCGCUCCUACUGAUUGGGUGAUCCGGUGAGCUGUUCGGCCAUAGCAAUGUUUCUUGAGCAGGGCAAUGAAUGUUUCGCAAACCUUGCCACUUAGAGGAAGGAGAAGUCGUAACA